Molecule: transfer RNA, 75 nt
Filed under: uncultured Alphaproteobacteria bacterium
Lineage: Bacteria; Pseudomonadati; Pseudomonadota; Alphaproteobacteria
Description: tRNA-Thr
Rfam family: tRNA
About the family: Transfer RNA (tRNA) molecules are approximately 80 nucleotides in length.
Source: RNAcentral
GCCGGUGUAGCUCAGGGGUAGAGCAACUGAUUCGUAAUCAGUAGGUCCACAGUUCAAAUCUGUGCACCGGCACCA